This 4560-nucleotide unclassified non-coding RNA is filed under the name Hevea brasiliensis (rubber tree). The record is from RNAcentral. Lineage: Eukaryota; Viridiplantae; Streptophyta; Magnoliopsida; Malpighiales; Euphorbiaceae.
UUUCUCUUGAUAGAUGAUAGAACCGCGCUAAUUUUAGUUCAUAAAUCACCAUAAGUUGAGUCGCUCAACUAGAUUACCUUUUAAUAAUAAACCUGAUAAUGACAGGAACCGAACUUGACGUUUGUUUGCCUUUCCACAUCAGUGAUUGAGGCUUUGUCUUUGAUUUUAUCAAUCAUUGGCCUUUGUCAUUCGGUGAUAGCGGCUUUUAUUGGCAAUGUGUAGGUACAGGCUCGAACCUCAUGUAUCCGAAUGUCGAUCGUCUUUCUCCUUCCACACCAAAAUCAUUUGCAAGUUGUAACAUUACAUUUGCUGUUGCUGCAGCUGCUCAUUUAGCUAUACAAAAUCAACCAUUUCGGGAGAAAAAAGGAUGUAAAAACGCAGACAGUAAUUUACAUUAGACUCUAAAACCUAAACAAUUCCCACCUCUCAUCGUAGACGGUAGACCAUUACACAGUAGCGUUGUUACGUAAAAACACAUGGACACAAAGGAAUUAGCGCAAAAGCAGCUUGAUGUUCAACAACUUCCCAACCUUUCAAUAGAAAUCUUUCCGAACCUUUCAAUAGAAAUCUUAAGGUCGGUAGCUGCAACGACCGUGGUCCUCCCACCCCCAUCAAGCUGGGAAGCCCAAUGAUGACACCUAAAAGGAAGAAGACAGUUAAUUGCCGACCGGAAAUUUACCUUCAGUAAAUUAUAUAUGUAUACCCUAAAAACAGCUUUAUAACUGGACGAGAUUUUACCUGGCACCCAGAUAAAAAAACACUUUAAUAACUGCUUGUCACCCCAACAAAAAUAUUGCAUAGUUGCGAAUAUACUAGAGAUGAACUUGUACAAACUUUUCUCGAAUUCAUUUUCCAGAAAUAUUGACUUCAGCUGUUACAAAUUUGCAUAUUCUAAUCUCUACAUCAUUCAUACAGGACUAAUUCACCAAAUUUCUCUAGGGAAAGAUUUGAUUACCAUUCCAUAACUUAGUGUCUCAGCAAAAUAAAUAAUAGAACAGCUCACACAAUUGUACAUGACAUCCACACACACAAACACACAAAAGAUACUAUAUAGCAGCUUGAAAAUUUCUGGGAUGUUACUCAGUCCCGUUCACCCAGGGCACAUGUUCAUUAAGGUGAUUCAUUGCCUUCAACAGUGGUUGCACUGAAGUAAGCAGUUACUGCCUUCAACUUGCCAUUCAAGAAGUUCUUCUCAACCUGGGACCAGGGCCAACAACAAUACAAAAUAACUUUACAGCACAAAUCAGCAUAUUUAUUGACAUCAAGAAAUAGUAAACCAAACAACAAACAGAAUUCCUGGGGCAUAUCGUUCAAUAUUGGGUGGAGCUAGUUAAGGUAAAUGGGGCAAUAAAUCUAAGCAGGAGAAAACAAGAGAAUCCUUCAAACCAUGCAAACAACCAGGUAAAAGAGAAAAACAGGUGGAAACUUCAGAAUUAUUUUGACCAAAUGACGUAUGAUAAAAGAGGCAGUAAAUGUUUCUAACAAUUUUAUGUCAAAGUUACUGAUAAAAAGUGCCACCAAUAGAGUAAGACAUAAACAAAGCUUCAUUUAAAAGAUAUAGAUAUCUUAAUCUUUUCAUCAAUAUCAUGAUGAUAAACAGAAAUCGUGUGAAGCAGAAUUCUUCAGGGUGUCAUUUGUCCAAGAAACUGGAGGUGGAGUGGUGGAACCAUCACCAUUCCUUGAUAAAAAAACUAAAAUACUUGAAAAAAAAAACCCUAUAAUAUUUAGGGUUUGUUUGGAUUGUUGUUGGAACUACUGUUGAGAAAAACAUCCCCUUAAGUUAAAUUUGGUAUUUUAGUUAUGCAAAUAACAAAAUAACUUUUUUCAGACUGUUAUUUCCAACAUCUAAACUGGUGCUUUUUCAAAAAGCAAGUUUAGACCACAACCCAAUAGGCUCUUAGAAGUUGUCUCACAUCCUAAAAAAUCUCCUGCUACAUCAUUUCAAUUGAUUUGAUUACUAGAAGGUUGAAUUGUGUCUCUAAAUGCUAAAGAGAGACGAUGAAAAUGGAUCAGCUGUUUGUCUUAGCUACUGAGAGUAAGACGGGGCACAACCUUCUAUUAGUAGCAAAACCUAAUAGCUAUUCAGAGGACACUGAAUGAACUGAAUUAAAAAGUUACCUCUAGCGACCAUGGAUGAUCAGCAGAUAGAGACAACUCUGCCAAUUGGUUGAGAUCAACAUUUCUAGGUAGAAACAUGACAAUUUUGUGAGCAAUUUUCUUUGCAGUGUUAAAGAGAAAAUAUCCAUCAUGUGGUUUAAGCAUUCUCAUGAUGUUGUAAGUCUUUACUUUGGCAUAAUCAGGUCCUCCCCAAGGAGGUGACAAGAAGACUGUGUCUGCCUUCAGCUUUGGUGCCAAAACAAAAAAGUCCCCCUUUAUAAAAUCUAUUUGGUCUCUAACUCCAUAGAUGGCAGCAUUAUGAUACGCAUAAUCAAUCUUCUUUGGAUCAACAUCAAUCGCAGUAACAUGUUUGCACCUCUGCGCAAAUUGGAUGGCAUUUCCACCAACUCCAGCGAAACAGUCAAUUAUGAUGUCACUAUCACAACGUAAUGCAUGAUGCCUAGCAAUAGGCUCUGGAGUCACAGAAAACCAACCUUCCUCGUCCAUCUGUAUACCACUAUCAAAUCUGGAGAACAAAAGGUACCUUUGGCACCAGUAUUUGCCAAUAUUGGCAGAUAACUCUUCCAAGAUAACUUGACACUGAAGCUCUUCACUAGCAUUGGACGAUUUCCUACGUGCACCCAUUUUUCUUGCUUUCUUUUUCUUUUUUUUCAUGCCAGAGUCAAACUGCGUAUCCAUCCUAUCUGUUGCAGGAUCAACUAUUUCUAUUUGCAUGUUAUCAUCCCCAUUAAUUUUCUCAGUGAUCUUACAGGUCAAGCUGCCAAUAUGCUCCUGCACAUCUGAUGAUAAGCACGAUGUAACCUCAUCAUCAAAACUUGCACUGAUCCCAUGAAGUUCACCUCGAAGAUCAGAACUGUUGUUUGCAGUUAGUAUAGUCAUUCCUGGAAAAGAGCUAUCAGCAGUGACUCCUUUCCCCGUUGAAACCUCAUUAGAUGGCUGAUCUUCCAAUCUAGCAUCAUUUGGAGGUUCUUCCAAUGACUUAGAAUAAUUUAGCAAAGUGCGAGAAAUGGAAGGGCUAUCAUCAUUUUCAGUUGCUUGAGCAAUUACUUCAUCCAGUCCAUCAGCGACACCAUCAUAUGCUAGAUGUUCCAUACCAGUGGGUGGAUCCCAUGUGGAAGCACCAGUUUUGAUGUUAUGAAAGUAAUUUCUCAAGUAGAAAGAGUCCCAGUAUACCCUCCAAUCCCCAAAAUCAACAUUGUAGCCACAGCUGUCUGCUCCAUCAUGUUCAAACACUUCUGAGUUCUGAGAUAACACAACAAUUUCAGAAACUUCUGCCUCCUCAGUACUGUUGUCAUUGCAAAACCUUCUGCUUUGUUCAUGAAUUAGAGCAGCAGAUGAAUCUUCCAGGCACUCAUAAUCCAUCAAACUUCUACCAAGUUCUUUCUUAUCAUGGUCAACACUUGCAUCUGUCAACCAGCAUGGUGGUAAAUGUGGAGCAUCUGCAUUGCCUGAACUAAGUCCUUUCCCAUUUUCUUCAUUUGAAAUAACAUCACUGAAUGCUACAAACUCAUAUUCCAUGCCAUUAUUAGACAGAUCAGAUUUUCCAUCAAAAACAGCAUCAGAUAUAAUCUCAGUGGGCCUUGAAGGAUCUUCACCAGCAGGGCAUUGAGAAUCACUGGUAUCAAUCUGGUAAAUUCUAGUGCUUCAUCCUUAGCUUCUUUAUGACCACAAGAAAGCUUCAAAUGAGUGCCUUUCCUUUUGCCUGCAAUCAUUUUGUUCCUCACCUCUUUAUUGGACUGAAAGGAGUGGGGAAGCCCUAAGGCAUCCAUCUGUUUUGUCAGCUCCACAUCCUCUGGGGCUUCACUAAACUCUAAAAGAAUUUAAGCGGGAAAAAUUUGACGCAUAACAGAAAAAAAAGGGUCACCUAGUAGAAAAUCAGUGUAAAAAUGAAGUUCAGGUAUUAAAGCGGGGAAAAAAGCACUAACCAAUGGUUGAGGCAGGGAUGUUUAAACUGUUAUCAUCAUAAUCCUGAGGAGAUUUACUGGCGGACUCGGGAAACAAACAAACUUCACGCGUCUCCGUUGAGCCGUCCUCCCAUAUGUAGACUUCGGUAAGCUUAAAACGGGAACCCAUUGCUCUGAUGGCAGCGCCUUCACUUUCCAUUACAAAUUCUUUGAUCCCCGAUUAUCGUCAAGGGUCAACUUUAGGUCAAAAAUGAAAGAACCGAUGCCACUCCACUCCGCCCCCACUUUCAACUCCAAUCACAGUGAACGGGCACCGCCGCGCUUUCCCAUUUAUAGCAAGCGACAGUAGCCUAGGAUGAAAUGACGCAGGUUUGAGCGAUUCCAUCAAAAUGAAUGCCUAAGAAAGAAAACGAUACCGUUUCCCUAGAUUAUAGGGUUCGCCGACGUCGUGUUAUUCCCUCAUAUAGAACGACACCGGCGCACUAAAUUAUCUAGUUCGCCCGACUAAUCCAACGUCGUGUUAUUCCCUCCAAUUCAG